AAAUGAAUUGACGGGGACCCGCACAAGCGGAGGAGCGCGUGGUUUAAUUCGACGGUAAUCGAAAAACCUUACCAGGGUUUGACAUGUAUCUGCAUGCCCCCAGAAACGGGGGAAUCCUUAGAGGGUGAUACACAGGUGCUGCAUGGCCGCCGUCAGCUCGUGUCGUGAGAUGUAGGGUUAAGUCCCGAAACGAGCGCAACCCCUAUCCUAUGUUACAAGUGUCUUAGGAAACCGCCUCGGUAAAACGAGGAGGAAGGUGGGGAUGACGUCUGGUCCGCAUAGCCCUUAUGUCCUGGGCGACACACGCGCUACAAUGGCUGAUACAAUGGGGAGCCAAAUCGUAAGAUGGAGCAAAUCCUCAAAGUCAGUCUCAGUUCGAAUUGAGGUCUGCAACUCGACCUCAUGAAGUAGGAUUCGCUAGUAAUCGUAGAUCAGACAUGCUACGGUGAAUACGUUCUCGGGUCUUGCACACACCGCCCGU
This 481-nucleotide ribosomal RNA is filed under the name uncultured bacterium. RNAcentral describes it as "bacterial SSU rRNA". It matches the Rfam family "Bacterial small subunit ribosomal RNA", at positions 903 to 1397 of the family's 1533-position model. The record is from RNAcentral.